Acanthosepion pharaonis is the source of this 96-nucleotide non-coding RNA. The record is from the annotation of a GenBank genome assembly. NCBI's taxonomy places the organism in Eukaryota, Metazoa, Mollusca, Cephalopoda, Sepiida, Sepiidae.
AGGCUGAAACACCAAUACCCUUAUGAUCACUGAAAUUAAGCAAUAUUGAGCCUGGUCGGUACCUGGAUGGAUGACCACUUAGGAAUAUCAGGUGCU